This 254-nucleotide small RNA is filed under the name Vigna angularis var. angularis. RNAcentral describes it as "Non-protein coding transcript". The record is from RNAcentral. Lineage: Eukaryota; Viridiplantae; Streptophyta; Magnoliopsida; Fabales; Fabaceae.
GGAGGUCUUAGUCUUGGAGGCUUCCAGUAUGCUCUAGGGCGCGGAACGGACUAACUUUGUGAGUGUGGUAGGGUGGAACCCAUUGGCAAUGACUUUGCAAAGCAGUAGAGGCCACCAUGAGUGCAUAACCCGCCAUAGCUCGACAAUCAUUCUAGUCCGGAGGAGUCGGAUACAACAAGUCUUAUGGCAAGGAGGUUUCCUUGGAGACAACUUUGGAAGAAGACGGCAAUGUUGUAGUUUAGGCUUCCUAGGGG